AAACGACUUUCGGCAACGGAUAUCUCGGCUCUCGCAUCGAUGAAGAACGUAGCGAAAUGCGAUACUUGGUGUGAAUUGCAGAAUCCCGUGAAUCAUCGAGUCUUUGAACGCAAGUUGCGCCCGAAGCCUUUUGGCCGAGGGCACGUCUGCCUGGGUGUCACGC
This 163-nucleotide ribosomal RNA is filed under the name Viola chaerophylloides. RNAcentral's name for it is "5.8S ribosomal RNA". It matches the Rfam family "5.8S ribosomal RNA". From Rfam's summary of the family: 5.8S ribosomal RNA (5.8S rRNA) is a component of the large subunit of the eukaryotic ribosome. It is transcribed by RNA polymerase I as part of the 45S precursor that also contains 18S and 28S rRNA. Lineage: Eukaryota; Viridiplantae; Streptophyta; Magnoliopsida; Malpighiales; Violaceae. The record is from RNAcentral.